RNAcentral lists this transfer-messenger RNA (163 nucleotides) under Polaromonas sp. Its description in RNAcentral is "partial transfer-messenger RNA". It matches the Rfam family "transfer-messenger RNA", at positions 1 to 179 of the family's 374-position model. Rfam says of the family: Bacterial tmRNA, also known as 10Sa RNA or SsrA, is named for its dual tRNA and mRNA-like properties. Its role is to liberate the mRNA from a stalled ribosome. Lineage: Bacteria; Pseudomonadati; Pseudomonadota; Betaproteobacteria; Burkholderiales; Comamonadaceae. The record is from RNAcentral.
GGGGCUGCAUUGGUUUCGACGCGGGUUCGGACGCGGUGUGGUGCAUGUCGAGCUGAGUGUGCUCGUAAAACUGAUUCAAACAAACUAACUGCAAACGACGAACGUUUCGCACUCGCUGCUUAAUUGCCAGUGAGCUUUACAACAGCAGGCCGAUGGGCUGGGC